Molecule: small nucleolar RNA, 141 nt
Organism: Sciurus carolinensis (gray squirrel)
Lineage: Eukaryota; Metazoa; Chordata; Mammalia; Rodentia; Sciuridae
Product: small nucleolar RNA U109
Exons: 1
Source: RefSeq, a predicted model, not a curated record
UUGCCUGAUGUAAUCCACGUUCUAUUCUUUUUUUAAAGAACAUGAAUAUAUUCAUAACAUGCUACUUGUAAUGAAUGAGAAGUUCUUUUAAGACUGUUCACUUUUUGGUUGAGAUUAUGUGGAAACAUUUCUUCUAUACUA